AAUCAACGCUGGCGGCGUGCCUCAGACAUGCAAGUCGAACGAUUAAAGCUCUCUUCGGAGAGUGUAUAGAGUGGCGCACGGGUGAGUAACACGUAAGUAAUCUACCUUCGAGUGGGGAAUAACGUCCGGAACGGACGCUAAUACCGCAUAAUGCAGCGGCAUCGCAAGAUGACAGUUGUUAAAGAUUAUCGCUUGAAGAGGAGCUUGCGGCGGA
RNAcentral lists this ribosomal RNA (214 nucleotides) under uncultured bacterium. RNAcentral describes it as "partial 16S ribosomal RNA". It matches the Rfam family "Bacterial small subunit ribosomal RNA", at positions 32 to 240 of the family's 1533-position model. The record is from RNAcentral.